UACGAAGGGUGCAAGCGUUACUCGGAAUUACUGGGCGUAAAGCGUGCGCAGGCGGUAAGUUAAGUCUGAUGUGAAAGCCCCGGGCUCAACCUGGGAAUGGCAUUGGAAACUGGCUUGCUAGAGUGUGGCAGAGGGGGGUGGAAUUCCGCGUGUAGCAGUGAAAUGCGUAGAGAUGCGGAGGAACACCGAUGGCGAAGGCAGCCCCCUGGGCCGACACUGACGCUCAGGCACGAAAGCGUGGGGAGCAAACAGG
RNAcentral lists this ribosomal RNA (253 nucleotides) under uncultured bacterium. RNAcentral's name for it is "partial 16S ribosomal RNA". It matches the Rfam family "Bacterial small subunit ribosomal RNA", at positions 524 to 776 of the family's 1533-position model. The record is from RNAcentral.